This 480-nucleotide ribosomal RNA is filed under the name uncultured bacterium. RNAcentral describes it as "bacterial SSU rRNA". It matches the Rfam family "Bacterial small subunit ribosomal RNA", at positions 28 to 507 of the family's 1533-position model. The record is from RNAcentral.
GACGAACGCUGGCGGCGUGCCUAACACAUGCAAGUCGAGCGGAGUCGAUCGACGGAAGCCUUCGGGCGGAAGAUGGUUGACUUAGCGGCGGAUGGGUGAGUAACGCGUGGGCAACCUGCCUCGAAGACCGGGAUAACAGCCCGAAAGGGCUGCUAAUACCGGAUGUGGUCAAAGAUCCGCAUGGAUUUUUGAUUAAAGGGGAAACCCGUUUCGAGAUGGGCCCGCGUCCUAUCAGCUAGUUGGUGAGGUAAAAGCUCACCAAGGCGACGACGGGUAGCCGGCCUGAGAGGGUGACCGGCCACACUGGAACUGAGACACGGUCCAGACUCCUACGGGGGGCAGCAGUGGGGAAUCUUCCACAAUGGGCGAAAGCCUGAUGGAGCGACGCCGCGUGAGCGAAGAAGGCCUCGGUUGUAAGCUCUGUCUGGAGGGACGAAGGAAGUGACGGUACCUCCGGAGGAAGCCACGGCUAACUACGUG